RNAcentral lists this ribosomal RNA (54 nucleotides) under uncultured fungus. Its description in RNAcentral is "partial 26S ribosomal RNA". Lineage: Eukaryota; Fungi. The record is from RNAcentral.
CCUCAAAUCGGGUAGGAAUACCCGCUGAACUUAAGCAUAUCAAUAAGCGGAGGA